RNAcentral lists this ribosomal RNA (406 nucleotides) under Acroperla trivacuata. RNAcentral describes it as "partial 12S ribosomal RNA". The stretch from base 52 to 406 matches the Rfam family "Microsporidia small subunit ribosomal RNA", at positions 752 to 1207 of the family's 1311-position model. Lineage: Eukaryota; Metazoa; Arthropoda; Insecta; Plecoptera; Gripopterygidae. The record is from RNAcentral.
UAAACUACGAUUAGAUACCCUAUUAUUUUAAAUGUAAAUAUAAAAAGGCUUGAGUAGUAAUAGAUAUGUUCUUGAAACUCAAAGAAUUUGGCGGUGUUUUAGUCCUUUCAGAGGAACCUGUCCCAUAAUCGAUAGUCCACGUUUUACCUUGCUUAAUUUUGUUAUCAGCUUGUAUACCGCCGUCGUCAGAAUGUCCUUAGAGGGUUAUAAUUUUCUUGAUUUUUUAUUAAAAUUGAUGUCAGGUCAAGGUGCAGCUUAUGGUUAAGUGGAGAUGGGUUACAAUAAAAUUAUUUAUUACGGAGAAUGAAUGGCAGAAUUUAUUUGAAGGUGGAUUUGAUUGUAAUUAAUUUGAUUAAGUUAAUUUGAUUUUGGCUCUAAAACAUGCACACAUCGCCCGUCGCUCUUA